Non-coding RNA from Etheostoma cragini (Arkansas darter), 747 nucleotides. Lineage: Eukaryota; Metazoa; Chordata; Actinopteri; Perciformes; Percidae. The record is from the annotation of a RefSeq genome assembly.
GGGGGAAUAACCCAGGGCUGUGAAUGAGCCCUGUCACUGUGAUCAGGUUCCUCCUUCUAAUCCACCAACUUAGUGUUGAUGAAGACUAAACAGAGAGAUCCCAGCCUUCUUUCUACUUGCUGUAGCUCAGAGUUACUCCACACUGCAGAUAUGACGCCUCUGUUCAUCUCAGUGCUGCUGGCUGCUAUGAGCCUUGAAUGCAGAGCACAACAAGACAACGUGCUGCAACCAACAGGAGAUGUGACUGCUACUGAAGGAGAGGCAGUAACACUUGGCUGUCAAUAUAACAGCAGUUCAUCUAAUGAUUAUCUCUUCUGGUACAAACAGGAUGAAAACAACAGCCCCAAAUUUAUUCUCAGCCGCUUUAAGAUUGGACCGGGGAAAACAGAGCACGAGUUCAAGGACAGAUUUUCAUCUACACUCAAUUCCAAGUUAAGAUCAGUUCCUCUGGAGAUCCAGAAGCUUCAGCUGUCUGACUCUGCUGUGUACUACUGUGCUCUGCAGCCCACAGUGACAGGAAACACCAAAACUCUGUACAAAAACCUUUGGAGAGUCAACUGUGAAGAACUCACUCCAGUAGAGAAAGAAGAGAACAGUUUAGAAGACAGCUUUGUUACUCUGUCCUACAGAUACUCCAGACAAGCAACUGGUAGUGAGGAGUUUUACUGGUAUCGACAAUAUCCAGGAAAACCUCCAGAAUCUCCUCUGCUGCAGUGGCAGACUCUGCUGUGUACUACUGUGCUGUGA